AGGACGAACGCUGGCGGCGCGCUUAAUACAUGCAAGUCGAGCGAGAACCGGUCCUUCGGGACCGGGGAAAGCGGCGAACGGGUGAGUAACACGUGGGUAAUCUGCCCUCGGUACUGGGAUAGCCCGGGGAAACCCGGAUUAAUACCGGAUAGCCUUUCGAGCUCUUGGGCUCGUUAGAAAAGGUGGCUUCGGCUUCCGACUGAGGAUGAGCCCGCGGCGGAUUAGCUUGUUGGUGAGGUAAUGGCUCACCAAGGCUUCGAUCCGUAGCUGGUCUGAGAGGACGAUCAGCCACACUGGGACUGAGACACGGCCCAGACCUCCGUACGGGAGGCAGCAAGUAGGGAAUCUUGCGACAAGUGGGAGAAAGCCUAGACCGCAGCGGACGCCGGCGUCGACGGGAAGAAGGUCCGUUGGGUUACGUAAACCGUCGUUUCGAGGACGGACGAACGCCGACGUACGGGUUAACUAACCCCGAGG
RNAcentral lists this ribosomal RNA (477 nucleotides) under uncultured soil bacterium. RNAcentral describes it as "bacterial SSU rRNA". It matches the Rfam family "Bacterial small subunit ribosomal RNA", at positions 26 to 485 of the family's 1533-position model. The record is from RNAcentral.